Carassius carassius (crucian carp) is the source of this 1292-nucleotide long non-coding RNA. RefSeq lists it as uncharacterized. The record is from RefSeq and is a predicted model, not a curated record. The transcript is spliced from 8 exons. Lineage: Eukaryota; Metazoa; Chordata; Actinopteri; Cypriniformes; Cyprinidae.
UGCCAAUGUUCGGAGACCAGAAGCAAUGCCAUUUGCACCAUUUGACGGGCGGCUUGCAGAGGAUACAGAAGACAAUCUGAGGGCUGCACUGAGUGGAACCUUUACUGUUAGCCUACCUUGACUGAAUGAAAAGAAGUUGGAUGAAGAUGUCAGUUGCCAUCCAGUGACUGGAUCCUCAGAUCACUAUGCCCUAUAUGACAAAUUCCACGAGUCUAAUUCUAAGGAUGUGCGAGACUCACUCAGAAAGAUCCAGCUUGUUCCAGAGUUGGCUGGUAGUGUUAACACACAAGCCGCAGAACAGCUUUUUUCUGGAAUGCGGAAGAAUAACUACUUCCUGAAUAUGAUGUGUCCCACAACUCACAUGUUUUUUGUCAGAAAUAUUUUGCACAUUCAGAAUGAGGAGAAAAACAAAUCAAUGCUGAAAAACAUCCAAAAGUCCCACUCAAAAACUACUGUGAAUCUCCAAAAAGAUUCGCCUGGACGUCUGGUUGUAGGCAAUUUCAACAUAUGUAUACUUUGAAUCGUAAAUUUUUAUAUGGCUAUGCACAGUUAAAAUAUGUAAAUUUGUCUUUGUGUCUUUAGAUAAGGAGAACAGGGGUCCUGAAAGAACCAGACUACACCUGAUUAAACCUACUAAAGCUUGCUGGAGCAAGCCACUGAAUCGAUCACAGCGUAAACUGGUGACUCAAGCUAUUUCAGUAAGUAAGGAUGAUGAAGUGGCAUAUGUGGGCUCUACAGUAAUAAAACAGAAAGACUUUACAACUCUGACAGAACUUUCUGAGGUUGAAGGAAGUGUGCUGAAUUCCUGCUUUUGUGUUCUGCAACAGAUUGCCCUCUCACAGAAUGUGGACUUCUAUCCAGUUAACAGCCAUGUCAUUGUGACCUGGUUACCUCCUAUUUGUGCAAAUCCACUGGACAGCUUACCUGUAUGUAUGAUUUAAGUUUUAAGCAGGUCUGGAAUGUCUUCAAUAUGUUGCAUACAUUUAAGUCACUUUUGUGUAAAAUAUUUUCACUAUACAUAUAGCCUGAAAUUAGCAGCAAGGAUGCUGUGGUCUUUCCAUCUUAUGUGCCAGGACACUGGAUGCUGUGUAGAAAUUGCUUUCAGCCUCUGUCCUGGGCCUUGGACUGAGUUCUUCUCUGAGGACCUUGAGGAUGUUCCUCGACAAGAGUUGUCUUGUAGCUGUGGAGUCUUCACACUAAUAUAUGCUCUCUAUAUUACCCUGGGUGGAACGUUUGACUUCUCAGAGUCAGACAUGCCAAGUAUUAGAAGAUGGUGGUCUGCCCUUUUGCUG